This 666-nucleotide long non-coding RNA is filed under the name Ursus maritimus (polar bear). RNAcentral describes it as "lncRNA (ENSUMAG00000012793.1)". Lineage: Eukaryota; Metazoa; Chordata; Mammalia; Carnivora; Ursidae. The record is from RNAcentral.
ACAGUCCUAGAAGAAUCUUUUAUUUUAGCUCACUACUGAGUGAAGUCAUUUGUGGACAUUUUAAGAGACAGGACUUCAAGUGGGGUUAGAUUGAUUAAAUAUUGAAUGAUAUAGAGAACCCACAGAGCUGCCUUCUUCUCUCUCUUCUACAGAUCCAUGUGCAGACCAUCCCUGCCCUCCUCAUGUUCCCUGUGAAUCCAACAACGGAAUAUACCGCUGUGCUUACCAUGAGUAUACCUCGACCACAGGAAAAGAGGCACUCACAGAUCCAAAAGUCACAUACAAAGAAAUCAACCAUGUGACCUGCUCUAACAUCGACAAUAGCGAUCCAACCUUCCAGAGCUGUCACAAUCAGUUAAAUUUGAGCAGUUCUCAGGACAACAGCACACAGAUCUGCACCCGUUUUGCCAAGCUGUCCCGCAGCUGUGGAGAGGGAAACACUGCUCUGUCCCUGCAGGAAAUCGGGAACAUCGGGAACCCUUACUGGUUUCUCACAAACCUCACUUCCCAAGUAACCACUGAAAAUCACAAGGAGAAAACAAGGCUAGUGACAAUCUACCUGCAGAGUAUGGAGGCGGCUGUCCUUGCAGCUGCAUCCAGAAAUACGGAAGAAACACAGAAGGUGGAAGGGCCUUUUAUGGGUAAGGAAUCACAAGGAUGGUAAGC